UUAAGCGACUAAGCGUACACGGUGGAUGCCCUGGCAGUCAGAGGCGAUGAAGGACGUGCUAAUCUGCGAUAAGCGUCGGUGAGGUGAUAUGAACCGUUAUAACCGGCGAUUUCCGAAUGGGGAAACCCAGUGUGUUUCGACACACUAUCAUUAACUGAAUCCAUAGGUUAAUGAGGCGAACCGGGGGAACUGAAACAUCUAAGUACCCCGAGGAAAAGAAAUCAACCGAGAUUCCCCCAGUAGCGGCGAGCGAACGGGGAGGAGCCCAGAGCCUGAAUCAGUGUGUGUGUUAGUGGAAGCGUCUGGAAAGGCGCGCGAUACAGGGUGACAGCCCCGUACACAAAAAUGCACAUACUGUGAGCUCGAUGAGUAGGGCGGGACACGUGGUAUCCUGUCUGAAUAUGGGGGGACCAUCCUCCAAGGCUAAAUACUCCUGACUGACCGAUAGUGAACCAGUACCGUGAGGGAAAGGCGAAAAGAACCCCGGCGAGGGGAGUGAAAAAGAACCUGAAACCGUGUACGUACAAGCAGUGGGAGCCUCUUAAUGGGGUGACUGCGUACCUUUUGUAUAAUGGGUCAGCGACUUAUAUUCUGUAGCAAGGUUAACCGAAUAGGGGAGCCGAAGGGAAACCGAGUCUUAACUGGGCGUUAAGUUGCAGGGUAUAGACCCGAAACCCGGUGAUCUAGCCAUGGGCAGGUUGAAGGUUGGGUAACACUAACUGGAGGACCGAACCGACUAAUGUUGAAAAAUUAGCUGAUGACUUGUGGCUGGGGGUGAAAGGCCAAUCAAACCGGGAGAUAGCUGGUUCUCCCCGAAAGCUAUUUAGGUAGCGCCUCGUGAAUUCAUCUCCGGGGGUAGAGCACUGUUUCGGCAAGGGGGUCAUCCCGACUUACCAACCCGAUGCAAACUGCGAAUACCGGAGAAUGUUAUCACGGGAGACACACGGCGGGUGCUAACGUCCGUCGUGAAGAGGGAAACAACCCAGACCGCCAGCUAAGGUCCCAAAGUCAUGGUUAAGUGGGAAACGAUGUGGGAAGGCCCAGACAGCCAGGAUGUUGGCUUAGAAGCAGCCAUCAUUUAAAGAAAGCGUAAUAGCUCACUGGUCGAGUCGGCCUGCGCGGAAGAUGUAACGGGGCUAAACCAUGCACCGAAGCUGCGGCAGCGACACUAUGUGUUGUUGGGUAGGGGAGCGUUCUGUAAGCCUGUGAAGGUGGCCUGUGAGGGUUGCUGGAGGUAUCAGAAGUGCGAAUGCUGACAUAAGUAACGAUAAAGCGGGUGAAAAGCCCGCUCGCCGGAAGACCAAGGGUUCCUGUCCAACGUUAAUCGGGGCAGGGUGAGUCGACCCCUAAGGCGAGGCCGAAAGGCGUAGUCGAUGGGAAACAGGUUAAUAUUCCUGUACUUGGUGUUACUGCGAAGGGGGGACGGAGAAGGCUAUGUUGGCCGGGCGACGGUUGUCCCGGUUUAAGCGUGUAGGCUGGUUUUCCAGGCAAAUCCGGAAAAUCAAGGCUGAGGCGUGAUGACGAGGCACUACGGUGCUGAAGCGACAAAUGCCCUGCUUCCAGGAAAAGCCUCUAAGCAUCAGGUAACAUCAAAUCGUACCCCAAACCGACACAGGUGGUCAGGUAGAGAAUACCAAGGCGCUUGAGAGAACUCGGGUGAAGGAACUAGGCAAAAUGGUGCCGUAACUUCGGGAGAAGGCACGCUGAUAUGUAGGUGAAGCGACUUGCUCGUGGAGCUGAAAUCAGUCGAAGAUACCAGCUGGCUGCAACUGUUUAUUAAAAACACAGCACUGUGCAAACACGAAAGUGGACGUAUACGGUGUGACGCCUGCCCGGUGCCGGAAGGUUAAUUGAUGGGGUUAGCGGUAACGCGAAGCUCUUGAUCGAAGCCCCGGUAAACGGCGGCCGUAACUAUAACGGUCCUAAGGUAGCGAAAUUCCUUGUCGGGUAAGUUCCGACCUGCACGAAUGGCGUAAUGAUGGCCAGGCUGUCUCCACCCGAGACUCAGUGAAAUUGAACUCGCUGUGAAGAUGCAGUGUACCCGCGGCAAGACGGAAAGACCCCGUGAACCUUUACUAUAGCUUGACACUGAACAUUGAGCCUUGAUGUGUAGGAUAGGUGGGAGGCUUUGAAGUGUGGACGCCAGUCUGCAUGGAGCCGACCUUGAAAUACCACCCUUUAAUGUUUGAUGUUCUAACGUGGGCCCCUUACCGGGGUUGCGGACAGUGUCUGGUGGGUAGUUUGACUGGGGCGGUCUCCUCCUAAAGAGUAACGGAGGAGCACGAAGGUUGGCUAAUCCUGGUCGGACAUCAGGAGGUUAGUGCAAUGGCAUAAGCCAGCUUGACUGCGAGCGUGACGGCGCGAGCAGGUGCGAAAGCAGGUCAUAGUGAUCCGGUGGUUCUGAAUGGAAGGGCCAUCGCUCAACGGAUAAAAGGUACUCCGGGGAUAACAGGCUGAUACCGCCCAAGAGUUCAUAUCGACGGCGGUGUUUGGCACCUCGAUGUCGGCUCAUCACAUCCUGGGGCUGAAGUAGGUCCCAAGGGUAUGGCUGUUCGCCAUUUAAAGUGGUACGCGAGCUGGGUUUAGAACGUCGUGAGACAGUUCGGUCCCUAUCUGCCGUGGGCGCUGGAGAACUGAGGGGGGCUGCUCCUAGUACGAGAGGACCGGAGUGGACGCAUCACUGGUGUUCGGGUUGUCAUGCCAAUGGCACUGCCCGGUAGCUAAAUGCGGAAGAGAUAAGUGCUGAAAGCAUCUAAGCACGAAACUUGCCCCGAGAUGAGUUCUCCCUGACUCCUUGAGAGUCCUGAAGGAACGUUGAAGACGACGACGUUGAUAGGCCGGGUGUGUAAGCGCAGCGAUGCGUUGAGCUAACCGGUACUAAUGAACCGUGAGGCUUAACCUU
This 2902-nucleotide ribosomal RNA is filed under the name Escherichia coli KTE162. RNAcentral's name for it is "bacterial LSU rRNA". It matches the Rfam family "Bacterial large subunit ribosomal RNA". Lineage: Bacteria; Pseudomonadati; Pseudomonadota; Gammaproteobacteria; Enterobacterales; Enterobacteriaceae. The record is from RNAcentral.